UGAUGUUAUGAUGUGGAAUACCAAUAACCGAAAAUCAUAAAACCAUGACAUAGUUGCAUCAAAGCUGUGAAAUAUCGGGUCCUGGUGGCACUAGAGGUGUUCAAGGCAAGGUGGAAAGUUAGGAAUGUUGUUACAGGUCACUCAUGCUGGACAGAAUUAACCUGACGUAGCAGUGCAGUGUGAAAUAGUUCCAUUACCAAAAAUAACAGAUUAAUUUCUCAUGGUGAAGGGUUGCUGCAGUGGAGAAAUAGACUAUUGCGCUGUGGACGUCUGUCUUUAAGGCUGGUACUAGGGGCUGCUGUGAGAAUGGAGAGAGUGGUGUCAGCUGGAAAGUGGUGAGAAAAAUUACUGUGAUUUAAGAAAGAGCUGACAGGAGAUUAAGAUAACUGAGAGAAGCUACAGCAAGUUUUGCGAAACUAAAUGGUGUUUUUCUAGGCGCAAGGAUUUCUCUGAAAGUAUGAAGUGAACAAUAGGCUGCUUAAAAGCUUCUAAAACACAGAAGUCUUUAAGAGGGUAACUUGGGUCCUCAUGACAGUGAUGUGUGAGCUGAUGGUGUGUGACACAAAGCUGAGGUCGGUGCAGAUCUGGAGGAUUUUGAAGAAUCCUGUUAAAAAAUAACAUGAGGAACAGUGGCACCGUGCUGGUGCUGCCCCUGCUGAAUCUGUGGAAGGAACAAUUCCCUAACAUUUUUUAGUCAGUUGGGUGGGAAUUGAUUUCUGCUGAGGAAAGGACCAUGAAAACGUGGUUAUUGCACAGCAACUAGGAACUUUAACAUGUCCAAAACAAAGCACAAAAUGCCAUGGAAACUACGGUCAGCUCUCUGUAUCAUUCUCAGAUGCUUUUCUGAUCAGCUGUAGUUAAAAUACAUACUUUUAUUGAAAGAUUACAAGUGAGGAUUAUGUGGCUCUGGUGGUGAAGCUAUGCCAAAGUAUGUAGCGCGUGUGUUCUUGUGUACCAGAAUGAGGAAGGGUAAUGGGUCUCAGCAUUGGUAUUAGCCUUUAAAAAGCACGUAUUAUGCAAAGGGAUGUCCUGUGGUAAUCUGAAAGAAAAAUAAAGCUACAGGUGCAAUCCAUUGCUGCAGACCAUUAUGGAGUCAUAUAGAUCGGUCUAAUAUCACAGUACUUUAAUGCUUUUGAUUUAUGGUAUGAGAUAUUUUUGGGGCAAACUAAACUACCUCAUCGGGUAAAUUCAAAAAGACUCCCCUUACUCUCCAACAUCAUGAAUUGGCUUCUUCUGAGCAAGAAUGGAGCUGGGCUGCCACACAGGGAACUGCGUGUACAUUCUCCAUGUGAAAAUCCCUGAAGCUUGCAAAGCAAAGAUCACCUCACCAAGUUAUCCAAAACCUGUGUGCUGGGAGCCCACAAAAUACCUGAUCUACAGAUGUGUUUGUGCCAUUCAUCACCCAGGGACAUUGAGCUGCAGCAUCUCCAUUCUCUAUGGAGACAGAAAAUUGACAUCAGUUUGAGAGUGUUCCUGUAGGACCCCUCUGGCCAUCUGUGAGAUGAGCUGGUUACUCCAGUGUAUCCACAAUCAACCAUGGGUCCUUCACAAAAGCAGGAACUGCAAGAUCACCCAUCAAAGCCAGUGUGUCUUCAGUGGCAGAAGAUCUGGGGAAAGGACGAAUUCAGCCUCCCUGCAGAUAGCAAGAACAGAUGCUCCAGCUUCAACUCUGGAGCAUCUGUGAGGUCUAUGGUUUCACUGCCUCCUCCUCCUAGAUUUUAACAAAACUUUUUAUUUAUUCUAAUAGCCCUUACAUAGAAAUUCCUGCAUCCUCAGUUUUCUUUGCAUUGUUCAGCACUGUGAAUCAGAACAGGCUGAUAUCUGGAUGCCUGUGUGAGAUUCGUGUCACCUCAGUCUUUAGUCCCUCUUGGAGGUAGAAAUGGAGCCUGGAUGAUGGAGCUUGUUUGGUGUUUGUGAGGUGUGUGUUAGGCUAUGGCAUUUUCCACUAGGAACUCUUGGAGCUGAGAUCACCAUGUGGGCACAUUCCUGGGGACCAUCUCUAGAACACUGUUCCACACGUCUUCCCAAAGUAAUUAGAGAGUGCACCUGAGGGCUGUAUCUACCCUGCAGGAGCUGUCCAAGCAAAAACAGACCUGUGGAAGAAAUUAAAAAUAAUGUGUGAUGCAGCUAAGACUGGGACAAGAAAAGAAACAAGAGAAAGCAGAAGGACAGGGAAAGCAGGAUGCGUGGGCUGCAGUUAAAUAUACAGCAGUGCUCUUGCUUGCAUGGGCGGCCAACAUGUAGGGGCUUUGUGGUACAGCUGCCCCUCAGCAGCACGGAGACAAGCCUGUGUGGGCUCCAGAUAGUACCAGGACAGAGGGAAGAGCAGUGACAGGUCCUUGUUUCAGCAGCUCUGUGCUGUUCCCAUCCUGCCACUGGUUCUCAGGUACAGAGCCCAGUACCUCCCUCUGCUUCCCCUCCUCAGGGAGCUGCAGGGCGCAGUGAAGCCGCCUCUCGGCCUGCUCUUCUCCAGACUGCACAGCCGCAUGCCCUCAGUCUCCCCUCACAGGACAUGCCUUCAGCCCUAGUUUGCUUUACUGGGCCUUAGAGGAAGGAGGAGGUCCCCGUGACCUUCCUGCUGCAUUUCUGUGGCUUCUAUGACAUCUACAGUGUAGGUCCAUUCCUUCUGAGGUCUGCUGGCUCUGGCUGUGACAUGUGUGUAAGCCAGGAGUUUAAUUAUUAUAAACAUUAAAAUGAUUUGACCAAAGCAAGUGGAAAGCAAAAAUUGCCACUUGGGCUGAAUAAUUGCCAAUUCUCAGCUCUAAUAGCUGCUGUAUAAUUUAUAGGGAUAAAAGGCUAUGGAGCAGUCAUUUCUCUUCACUUUUAGAGUUUUGUAUAGAUCCCCAAGUGUCAGUACUGUGUGUGAUGAGGCCAUGCCGUGCAGCACUUCUGCUGCCCUGGAAGCGAGGGAGAAGGGGAUGACCACAAUCCCUUUACUUCAACAAUCUGCCUACAGCAUCUGCAUGCUGAGAAAAGCAGAAUAUAGUGGCUGGAUGAAAGAAAGCCAAACCAGGAUUUCCCCGGAGUUUGUUUUGCUCUGUAAUUUUUGGAAAAGGAGGUUGGUAGAAGUGCCUGUUUCUUCUCCCCACGCAAGGCCUGGUUUACCAUCUGAGCCGCUCCAGUGUUACCUUUUAGCACGCUCACAUGGACGCUUAUUGCGCCUGAUGGCCAAGGCUCAGCUUUCGGGGUAUUCUGAGGGCCUGCGUCCAACAUCUAACACAUAGCUCAGCAUGUUCACAGUUCAGUGUGACUGAGAGCUGCAGCCCAGGUGGUUUACUGACGACAGCAACUUUUACUUUUCUUCCCAAAGAUCCCAGUCCAUGGGAU
Numida meleagris (helmeted guineafowl) is the source of this 3327-nucleotide long non-coding RNA. RefSeq lists it as uncharacterized. The record is from RefSeq and is a predicted model, not a curated record. The transcript is spliced from 3 exons. NCBI's taxonomy places the organism in Eukaryota, Metazoa, Chordata, Aves, Galliformes, Numididae.